GACGAGAUGGCUGAGUUGGUCUAAGGCGCCAGAUUAAGAUUCUGGUCCGAAAGGGCGUGGGUUCAAAUCCCACUCUCGUCA
Molecule: transfer RNA, 81 nt
Filed under: Zea mays
Lineage: Eukaryota; Viridiplantae; Streptophyta; Magnoliopsida; Poales; Poaceae
Description: tRNA-Leu (AAG) (tRNA-Leu-AAG-7-1)
Rfam family: tRNA
About the family: Transfer RNA (tRNA) molecules are approximately 80 nucleotides in length. Their secondary structure includes four short double-helical elements and three loops (D, anti-codon, and T loops).
Source: Rfam by way of RNAcentral